UAAAAUUAAAGAAUAUGGCAGUAUUUUAAUUUUUUCAGAGGAACCUGUUCUAUAAUUGAUAUUCCACGAUUAAAUAUACUUAUUUUUUUUAAUUUAUAUAUCAUUGUAUUUAAUUAUAUCAGGAGAUUAUAUUUAAUUUAUAAAAUUAUAUUAAAAAUCAAAUCAGGGUGUAGUUUAUAAAUAAGUAGAAAUGGGUUACAAUAAAAAAAUUUUUGGAUAAUAUUUUUUAAUAGUAUUUGAAAUUGGAUUUGAAAGUAAUUAUAUAAUAAUUUUUAUAAUGAUUUAACUCUAAAAUAUGUACAUAUUGCCCGUCGCUUUUGUUUUUAAAAUGAAAUAAGUCGUAACAAAGUAGGUUUACUGGAAAGUGAGUCUAGAUU
This 377-nucleotide ribosomal RNA is filed under the name Thaneroclerus buquet. RNAcentral's name for it is "partial 12S ribosomal RNA". Lineage: Eukaryota; Metazoa; Arthropoda; Insecta; Coleoptera; Thanerocleridae. The record is from RNAcentral.